UGUAGGAGUGAGCCUGCUCGCGAUAGCGGUGUGUCAGACAAUGAAUGAUUGACUGACACACCCCCAUCGCGAGCAGGCUCACUCCUACA
Molecule: unclassified non-coding RNA, 89 nt
Filed under: Pseudomonas koreensis
Lineage: Bacteria; Pseudomonadati; Pseudomonadota; Gammaproteobacteria; Pseudomonadales; Pseudomonadaceae
Source: RNAcentral